Molecule: long non-coding RNA, 3722 nt
Filed under: Medicago truncatula (barrel medic)
Lineage: Eukaryota; Viridiplantae; Streptophyta; Magnoliopsida; Fabales; Fabaceae
Description: long non-coding RNA (MTRU_LNC000751)
Source: RNAcentral
AAUGCAUGAGUUCUUCUUAUUAGAUUUAGAUAUAACCACGAUGGAUUGAUAUUUAUCAGUAGGUGAUUUUGCAGUAGUAGAAUUCUACUAUCCGCUACAAACACCUAAAAGAUGCUUGUCAUAAAUAAAAUUUGUAUUGAAGUCAUUAUGUUAUCGCGAUUUUCGGGUGUCAAGUCAUUAAUUAGGUUUGAACCUUUCAAUCUUUGAUAUUCUCUAUUUUUUCUUGGGAAGGGCAAAAUUGAGAAAAAACCCUUAGAUUCUAAGUUCGGGGGUCGCUUUCGCUACGGGAAGGUGUUAGGCACCCGGAACGAUUAUGGUAUUCCAUAAGAACCGUUCUCCUAUGUUUCUUUCUACGCUUUAUUUUUAUUGCCUACUUAUUUAAAAAGAAGUUUUAUUUGAGUGAAGAAUGGGGGAGAGAAGAUGAUUGAGAUUUUAUUUUACUUGGCUUGGAGGAGUUUUAACUCAUUGCCUACGUACCCUUUUAAGGGAUCAAAACCAAACGUAGUUCAUUCUCGAAAAUUGUUUUUGUUUUUGUUGGUUGAUUUUAAGUUUGAAAAGAAAAAGAGGAAUUUUGAAGAAUGGAGAUGAGAGGCCUCAAGGGCAUGAGAUUUGGAAAAUGUGAGGUGGAAUUAGUUAUUUUGCAAAAUAAGGUCUAAGUAUGAUUAAAAUUCAUUAAGAUUUUUACUUAAGAAAAUAAAAGGAAAAUGAGGAGUUUUGACUCCUAUUUUAAAUAAAAAGUUUUCAAGUGAGGUUAUUCACAUUUUUUUGGGAAAAUGAUUUUUGUCUAAGUGUUGUAAAACCUAAGCAUACAUCUAAACAUACAUUCCCUAAUCAUGCAUCUAGAAUAUCCAUAUGGGAUGUGUGCAUGUGUCGGUGCUUGUGUCGGUGUACAUCACUUAUAGUGUCCAUAGUCCUUUACAUCGAGUCCUAAAUACAUGCUAUGGUCUUGCAAGGAUUUAAAAGAUGAAUUUAAACUAGCCUAAAAUAUUACAUAACCAUUGGAAAUACAAAAAAGGAAAAAUUGCAAGAAAUAAAACCUAAUCUAAUAGAAAUGAGAAUGAUGUGGUGAGAUGCUAUGAGAUGAGUGAAACAUGAGUCAACAAUGUUAGCAAAACAAGAUGAAAAAUGUAACAUGAGUGAUAGGAAAAAGCAAUCAAUUGAAUAUGAAAUGAAAUGGUAAAGAAAUGAUGAGAAUAACCAAGACAUAAUGAGAAGAAAAGUUGCUUGAAAUGCAAGAAACACACAAAUCGUACCAAAACAGUAGCACAAUCAUAAAAUCAACAUCACAUUUAACAUAAAAUUGCAUACUAAUUGCUCAUAACAUGUGCCAAAAAUUUAUGAAGAAAAAUAUGGCAAGAAAUUCACAAAAUUAAGCCAAAAAGAACAAAUUAAUCAAGAAAAUAACACCUAUAUUUUUAUCAUUUUUUUUUAACAUGUAAAAACAUCACAAAAGUAUCAGAAACAUAUCAAGAAACACAUAGAAAUUUUUAGGAAUUUUUAUGAGAAAAUUUGAGCAAGCGUGGGGUUCAGAUAGCAAGCAACAGGGUGCAAAUAGCAGGAAAUAAGGAAAAAAAAUAAAGAAAACCACAAACAGAAACCCAAGCCCAAAACCCAUGAAUCUGGAUGCACAGGAACCGUUAGAUUGAUCCAGAAAGCCAAACCCUAGAUCUAAAGGUUCAGAAUGAAGGGAAAGAACCAGAAAUAAACCGGACCGGUUCAGUUGUUUAUAAAAAGGCUUAUGGACCGGUUUUUUUUCAUUUCUUCCUCUUCCUUCUCUCUCUUCUCUCUAGAAUUCCGGUCAUCUUCUCCGGCGAGCAAAAGUUUUCCGGCGCGGUGGCCGGCCACCUCAAGGUGGCGGCGCCGCCGCUGGAAAAAAAAAUUUGCUCCGAUUCAAAUUUUUUUUACACUUUUAAACAUCCUUUUUCAUUCUAAACAUGAAUCCGGCACUAGAUUUUGCAUGCAAAGCUCGAAUCAACGUAGAUCUGAAGAUCUAUUUUCGGUUUUGGAAAGGAACUUUUUCAAAUUUUUUUUAUUUUUUCGAAUGGAAUCUUUUAGAAUUUCAUAGAUCUACACUUGAUUCGUCUUUGUUGAUGUUCUUGAGAAAAAAAAGAUGAAGUUUGAGUUUUACCUGUGAUUUUCGGUUGGAGAUUUCGAAUGAGUUCUUCGAAAAACUUUGAUUUGAUUCUGUUUGUGGAUUUUGCUGACUUGAAACCGAAAAUAAAUCGGUGUUCUUCUUCUUCACCGGUUCGAUUUUUCUUUCCCUCUUCUUCUUCUUCAAAAAACGCCUCUGCGAUCGUGCUUGAGUUUGCCGCUUUCAGUGGUGAAUUCGCACUCGAAUUGCAGAGCAAAACGAUUCAGUGAUGAAGAUUCUUUGAUGAAUCUCUGAGAAUCGGAGAAAAACUGAUGAAUCUGUUGAAUUUGAGUUCUGGAAAAUUUUAGGGUUUUUUAGUUUGUUCUUGGUGAUUUUUCUGUUUUGAUCUAACAGAAAAGAGAGAGAAAAUUGAAAUCUGUUUUUGGUGAUGUGUCAAUGAUUGUGUGGAUCUGUGCAGAAUAAUGCUAUUUAUAGACUGCCAUGUGUAUCUGAGAACCAAUGAAAAAAAGACAUCUGUUUUGGGACUGAUGUGGAUCGAAAAUCUGGACUAAAAUGCCCCUGGGACCUUUCUGCAAAAUAAAAAACUUGAAGGACUGGACAACAAUUAAAAAUGGACUAAAAUGAAAUUUUUUAAAAGUUUUGGACCAAAACGUGAUUAAAAAUAAAAUUGGACUAAAAAGUAAAUUUGACGAAACGUAAAGCGAAACCAAAAAUAAAAUGAACAAAAGGACUAAAACGAACCAAUUACUGACAUGAGGUAUUUUAAAAUACCUCCCUAUCAAAAUUUUGAUGGGAAAAGACCAAAAUGCCCCUAGGGACUAAACUGACUCAAACUGGCUCAGAUGCAAUUUUUGAAAUGAUUUUUUAAACAAAGACUCAACAAUGAUUUGUACAGACAAAUUGAAAAGACUCAGAGGCAAACACAUGGACUAAAAUAGGUUCCACUGCAGGAAAUGACCAAAAUACCCUUUUGUAUGAUUUUUUGAAAUAAAAUGCAAGAAAAAGUAGUGCGACGUUUCAGAGAGUUCUUAAAUGACUUGUAAUGCCAGAAAAGACAGAGGCAGUAAAAUACGUUUAAAAAGAGAGUAAAGAUUCAGAGUAAAAUAACAGAGAAUUGACAAAUAUCAGUGUUAGAAAAGAAAUUUGAAUGAGUAUUUUUAGGUCCAAAAUCAGGGUAUAACACAUUAUGAUCAGGAAGAUGCAGUUGCUUCCUCCUAACCUUCUCUUUAUGCUCCAAGACUUUCCUUUUCAAGUCCUCAACUGCAACAAUAUCUUACACCACAUCUAUAGUUUAACAGUGUCAUCCACUAAUAGAGUGUUUGGAUUCGAGUUUGCAUCAUGUUUCUCACUUUCCAAUGCACUCUUGACGUGAUUUUUGUGAAACUACAGUUGUAAGCUUCUAUGUAUUCAUGUGUUUGUUCCCAUUUGAACGUUGUUCCAAACAGGGGCUAAUUCAUUGUCUUCAUCACAAUUGGCAUCAAAAAAAUUUAUCGAAAAGGGAUUCUUCAAUUAAUUUUUUUAGGGAUAGUUGCUUCAACUGUAUGACCUGACACAUUAUAAAUCUUUUGUUAAUCAUCGUGUUUUCAACAUAAACAACCGCCAAAGUAUGAUAGAGAGUGAAAUAUAAAAC